GCGUCAGAGAGUGUAUGACAGAGAUAGAGAGAGAGAGUAUGAAAUAGCGAAAAUAGUAUAGAUAUAUAUGUAACUAACACGAACAGCUAAUAGUAGAGCAAGAUCACUAUUUUAUAUAGUUUUACGCCACUAAAUGGCAAUAAUUAACUUCACUACAGGCGACUAAAAGGAUACUAUCGAGCAAGAGAUAGCGUGUGUGAGCAAGUGGGAGCUAUAUAUAGAUAUCGGAGCGCUGCCAGAAAGUAUUUAUUAAACAAUAGAGCUAGCAUAAAGCUGUAUAGCGUAGUUAGAAGGAAAGAAAGACGAAGUUUGUGCUGAAAACGAAUUUUCUAAGCUAAAAUAACGAGAAGGCGCGCUUGCAGUAAAAGAGGGAGGCAACGCUGGAUAGAGAUCAAUUGGAGCGUAUGCUGGCGUAAGUCUAGCAAUAAAUCAUGGCAUUGUAUAACAUUGUGUUGCAAUAAACAUAUGUUUGUAUUGGUAAGCAGUUUCGUUGGCUCUUGUGUUAUUGUGAAGGCCAGAGAGGAGUCGGAUUAAGCUUGUGCAUAAAAGCUGAACGAACACAUUAAAGCAAUAUGUAAUUUAUUUAUAAUUGAUAAUUAAUAAAAUUUUUUUCAGGCCUCUUAGUGUCAUGGCGCUUGUGGCGUUGUAUUAAAUACGCUGUGUGUGGGGGAAGGUCAAGUUAAAUAAAUUAGUUGGUUGAGUCUACGAAUAUUAUAUUU
Molecule: long non-coding RNA, 719 nt
Organism: Ceratitis capitata (Mediterranean fruit fly)
Lineage: Eukaryota; Metazoa; Arthropoda; Insecta; Diptera; Tephritidae
Exons: 3
Source: RefSeq, a predicted model, not a curated record